Alligator mississippiensis (American alligator) is the source of this 3399-nucleotide long non-coding RNA. RefSeq lists it as uncharacterized. The transcript is spliced from 5 exons. Lineage: Eukaryota; Metazoa; Chordata; Crocodylia; Alligatoridae. The record is from RefSeq and is a predicted model, not a curated record.
UCGCUCUGCAAACGGAAAGAGAGAGAUGGAAACGGCUACAAAGAGGCAUCCAAAAGCUCAUGGGGAAGCACUGUGCUAAGGGGGUCGAGGCUGAUGCAAAAGGCUGGCUCUGUGUCAGUUGUAGGACAGCCAACUCUGGAUGGUUUCAAAACACAUCUCCUCUUGGGAGAGACGGCCUUCCCCCGGCCGUGUGUUACCUGCUGAGCAGAUCCUUCAGAAGUGUAUUGAGGAACUGUUACUUCCUUCCCAUUUCGGCAAACUAUGAAUCCUGUACGAAUUUAGAGAUUUGCAGACUGCUGCGUGCGUGGGCCAAGCGCUGUCACUGAGAGAAGUGCUGGGCAGGAGGGGCAGGAAGCGGCAGAGCCCCAGAUAAUGGACAGCUGGCAGCUCAGUCCUUAGAUCAGGGCCUGCUGAGGUGCCCCUAGCUCCGCGCACCUGAGGCAGGGAGGGCAAUCUGACCACCACAGAGCUGGAGCGGGGAGCUCUGUCAAGUGCUGAGGAUAAGUGGAGACAGAACUUGACUGCACUAAUGGAAGGAGCCUUCUGUGCAUGAAACUGAGGAGCAGGACCAAAGACCCGGGAGGGAAUUGUGAGUAGGCCUAGGAGGGCCCAAAGUGGGAGAAGCCUGUGGGAGAGAAAGGCACCCCAGCUGCAGUUGAUUGCAUGUGUUUGACUUGAUAUGUGCUGUGUAGGCUGCAAGCCAUGGGAAUAGCUGAAAGGGGGGAAAGGAGGGCCCUGAAGAUGCCCCACAGAGAGGCCUGGCUUAUUGCAGGGCUGGCAGGUAGGGUAGAGGCUUGGUGAGUAGCGGGCCAGGCUGUCCAAGCCCUGGAAGACGGGGCGGAGGGGUGGGAUCAGAGCAGGGGCAGGGGCAGCACAGAGUGCCCGGGACCACCCUCUGGUUCCCCGUAGGCAACUGCACAGUAGUAACAUCACAGGCAUGGCAGAAGAGGGGACCUAGGGAUACCAGAGUGCAAGGAACGGGAUUAGAGUGGCCACAAGGAGGCACCACUUCUGCCCUUAGCAGUGGAUCCUGUUAAAAAAUACUUAGCUUUUUUUGUGAAAAAACCCCAAACCUUUCAGUAUGUGAAAAUGUCUUGGUGAGAAUACAUUUAAUUAGGGUGACUGUAUAUCCUAUUUUAGCCAGAACAGUCCUGGAAUUUGAAGGCUGGUCCUGGCCAGCUGUUGGGAAUUAUAAUGAGCAUCCCGGAAAUGCAGGGGUGCAGGGCACAGUCUGGCUGGGUGGUGUGGAGAGCCUUGCAGGUGGGAGAGCCAGCUCUUGCAAUUUAAUUGCAGAUCUUUUGAUAUCUGACAUUUUUUUUUUUUUUUUUUUAAGUCCCAGCUCCUGAGGUCUUGUGUUCAGUAAGAUUCUCAACUCUUAUGUUUUUUGGGGUCUCUUUUUGUUAAAAGCAAACCCUCUGGAGAAAAACUUUCAGAUACAUACCUUAAAUGUUCAAAACCAGGAAAGCAAGUAAAACCCCCCAAAUAUUAUUUUUCUUAACCUCAUAAUUUCCUAGAUCAUGACUCGAGGUUUUCAAACACUUGAGGUUAGCAGUAUUAAUGUCUGAAAGAGUUGCUUCUUGUCAUGUUCAUAUCAAGUAGUGGCAUGUACAUGUAACUGUGUGGCCCUACUUUACAUUGAGAUCUGAUCCUUUUUGCCUCAUUUCAUUGCCUCAGCAUCAGAGAUUUGGCCACUGGCAGGGUUUUCCGAGUUACUGUGCCUUCUUUUCCUUUCUCAUGUAUAAAGUAUGACACAGCACUCAACACAUUUAAAAAAUAUUCUGACCAAAAUACUGGGGAGUAUACUAUAGAUGACAGUUGUUUGUGAGAUGUUGGGGAUGGAGCAGAUCAUUGAAUAAUCUUUCCCAGUUAAGAGCUUCUCAGCUAAACAUACUGCCUCCCCCCAUCAAAACCCAACAGAGCAGAGGUCUAGGCAGACGCAGAGUUCCAUAGGCCUUGCAUGCUCUCAGCGACAUCUUUCUAAAUUCUUCUAAAGUAUUUGUGAAAUAGUAGAGUAUUUGUGUCUCUGCAGCCAGAUUACGCAGUUAUCAGAUCAGACUGCUGCAGAGUGGGAUGUGAGUUUCGUUGGCCUCCUCUUGCAGUUACGAGCCACGUCUAUACGUAUUUCAUGUUACAAGUAUCCUAAACCAACACUGAUACUUCAUGCAAGGUAUAAGUGUCUCUCAGAAAAAUGUUUUACAGACUGUUUUAAAUGCAGGGCUCAGUGAUGGCUACCAUGGAGUCACCUGCGAUAAUGGCACUUUGCAAUCCCAUGCCUUCUGUCUCACCCCAGGAGCUUCCCUGGCUAAGCAAAAAUGUUGGGAGUGCUGAGACAGCUGGGUCUUCAUCCCCACCCAGUGAGAGGGAAGGAGGGACACAGGGUGGACAGGACCCUUGAAUGCUGUUAUGCAAGAGAGACCUAUCUACAGAGGAGACUGGUUUGCAUCAUGGAAAAGGUGCUGGUUGGUUCUGAUGUCGUCCUUCCAAUGCUCCAUCGGGAAUCCAGAGUCCUUCAGGAGAAACUGGAUAGAUGAGAUCUGAUAUUUCUUAUAAGGGACACGCAUAGAAACAGUCCUUUCCAGACUUUUUCUCUUGAAAAUUAGAACCGCCAAGAUUAGAAAGCCUAGAACUCCGAAUAUAGAGCCAAAGAGAAUUGCUUGGUGGUUAUCUGAAAAAGGGAAAAGGAAAACAAAUGAGAAUGUGAUAUUCUGCCUUCAGGGAGGGGAAAAAAGAAACCACUAGACUAUAGGAUUUCACCAAAAUCCCUUCUGCUAAAUGUCAGAACAGGUGGCUGAAGUCCAGUGCAAUGCAGUAAAAAUUAGUGAUAAUGUAUAAAUGAUAUGAACCUACAGAGUUGAUCUACAACUUCAAUGCUCACAGCUUCAACAAGAAGCUUAAAAACAUUUUUGAGAUUUUGUCGUAACCUUCCAAAAACAAAAACAAAAAAAGAAGAAGAAUUGCAUUUACAGAGAUCCAGGUCAGGAAAUUAAGCUUCAAGAGCCUAUGGCCAUUAAUGGAAGGAGUUUGCAUCCAUACAAAGACAAGUGUAUGGUAUAUAUGAGGGGAGCAAAUGCACACAAGGUAAAGACAAAUCUCUACAACAUUGUCUUCCAAAGUUACACCUCCUGGAGUGGCUAUAUGCUCAUGCCUGCUCUUGUAACACUCGCUAAGUUUUUUCUGGGAGUUGUUUCUUGCUCCCUUGCUGCAUGCUGCUGUGUGAAGAAAAGCUGCUGUGGCAGUGGUAAGGCCUUGCACUUAGAUUAUAAUUGGAAGCAUAUCAGAAUAAUUAUUAGCAGAGCAUUUCCAUGGGGACUUUAAUUAAAGAAAACAAUACUGAAAGAAACGCUGUUCAAGUCUAACAGUUUGAAACUUCAAAUACAAAUUGGGAUUUUGCAAAAUCAA